ACCAUAAUUUAAAUAGCAACUUUUUCAUAUCAAAAAAAUGUCAACUGAGUGAUAAAAAUUGUGUGACAAACCUCCAUUCUAUUAUUGUUUCUUUUUGGCAUUAAGAAGCACAGUAAACUAAAUGAAACUAAAUUAAUUAAAUUGAAUGUAAAGCAUCAUUUUAAAUUUGCGAGCAAUUUCAGCUUUCACAUCCUGAUGCUUAACACAUCUGAUUUGAAAGUUCUUUUAAGAAAUGGAUAACUAAUAAAUUAAAUUUACAGUGA
This 263-nucleotide long non-coding RNA is filed under the name Bos taurus (domestic cattle). Its description in RNAcentral is "long non-coding RNA NONBTAT022235". Lineage: Eukaryota; Metazoa; Chordata; Mammalia; Artiodactyla; Bovidae. The record is from RNAcentral.